GAGCGAUGAAACCCUUCGGGGUGGAUUAGCGGCGGACGGGUGAGUAACACGUGGGUAACCUGCCUCAAAGAGGGGGAUAGCCUCCCGAAAGGGAGAUUAAUACCGCAUAACAUUAGUUUUUCGCAUGGAGAACUAAAUAAAGGAGUAAUCCGCUUUGAGAUGGACCCGCGGCGCAUUAGCUAGUUGGUGAGGUAAAGGCUCACCAAGGCGACGAUGCGUAGCCGACCUGAGAGGGUGAUCGGCCACAUUGGAACUGAGACACGGUCCAGACUCCUACGGUAGGCAGCAGUGGGGAAUAUUGCACAAUGGGCGAAAGCCUGAUGCAGCAACGCCGCGUGAGUGAUGAAGGCCUUCGGGUUGUAAAGCUCUGUCUUUUGGGACGAUAAUGACGGUACCAAAGGAGGAAGCCACGGCUAACUACGUGCCAGCAGCCGCGGUAAUACGUAGGUGGCGAGCGUUGUCCGGAUUUACUGGGCGUAAAGGAUGCGUAGGCGGAUUUUUAAGUGAGAUGUGAAAUACCCGGGCUUAACUUGGGUGCUGCAUUUCAAACUGGAAGUCUAGAGUGC
This 566-nucleotide ribosomal RNA is filed under the name uncultured prokaryote. RNAcentral's name for it is "bacterial SSU rRNA". It matches the Rfam family "Bacterial small subunit ribosomal RNA", at positions 64 to 649 of the family's 1533-position model. The record is from RNAcentral.